This 711-nucleotide unclassified non-coding RNA is filed under the name Hevea brasiliensis (rubber tree). Lineage: Eukaryota; Viridiplantae; Streptophyta; Magnoliopsida; Malpighiales; Euphorbiaceae. The record is from RNAcentral.
AAAAUAAAUAAAUAAAUGCGAAGAAAAACUAAGAAAUAGGGGAAAGGAAGAAAGAACAAAACAGAAGCAAGAGAGAUUCACCACUUUCGCUUUGUGGGUUGGCCGGACUCAAGAAGUGAUGAUACCCAAAACAAUAAAAUAUUAAUAAUUAUACUUAGAAACUAUGGAAAAUAUGGACGUUUAGGAAACUAUCAUAAUUUUCUAAAAUGCUAAAAUAUCUAUUAGAGGGAAUAAAUUGCGUAUUAACAUCUCGUUUUUCCAAUAGAAACUGCUGAACUCAUAUUAUAAUGGAAAUGGAACUGUUUGACAUUAAAUUACCGAAGUUUGGUUCCUGUAUAGUCUUGAAAAGAUAAUAAUUGGGAUUGGAAUCGAUCAACUACCCUCCAAUAAAUAUGACACUAAUAAAUAGAGGAAAAUUCAAAACUUAAAAGCAACCCCAGAAUCAGAUUUCUCAGAGAGAUUUUAGCAGCAAAUUAAUUACGUAAUUAACUGAUCAAGCCCCCCCAAAAAAACCUUUUUUUUCAAUCAAGAACAGCAACGAUCAGAAGUACAGUACAUGCAUCAAAUCUUAGAAGAUCAAUCACUCUAAAUAAAGCGACUGCCACGUCCAUUGCAGGGCAGAAAUUCACUACCCCUCCUGAAAUUAAACACAAAUUGAAACUGGCCAGAAUAGCAUUAUACGUAUAAGAAAGAAGAAAGUGAAGUGUCAAA